CAGCCGCGGUAAUUCCAGCUCCAAUAGCGUAUAUUAAAGUUGUUGCUGUUAAAAAGCUCGUAGUUGGAUAUCAGUCUGUGUGGGCAUGGCCCGGUUGUGUUUAACAGCCGCGUGCUAACGCGGUUCGCCGCAGCCCCUCUGACUUGGUUCAGUAGUCCCGGUCUGCCCAUUAAAUUGGGUCAGGCGGGUGAUUCCUGAUCUUUUACUUGAGAAAAUUAAGUGCUCAAAGCAGGCCAUCGCCUGAAUGCAUUAGCAUGGAAUAA
RNAcentral lists this ribosomal RNA (263 nucleotides) under uncultured eukaryote. RNAcentral describes it as "partial 18S ribosomal RNA". It matches the Rfam family "Eukaryotic small subunit ribosomal RNA", at positions 571 to 817 of the family's 1831-position model. The record is from RNAcentral.